GAACGGGUGAGUAAUACAUCGGAACGUACCCAGGAGUGGGGGAUAACGUAGCGAAAGUUACGCUAAUACCGCAUAUUCUGUGAGCAGGAAAGCGGGGGAUCGCAAGACCUCGCGCUCUUGGAGCGGCCGAUGUCGGAUUAGCUAGUUGGUGAGGUAAAAGCUCACCAAGGCGACGAUCCGUAGCAGGUCUGAGAGGAUGAUCUGCCACACUGGGACUGAGACACGGCCCAGACUCCUACGGGAGGCAGCAGUGGGGAAUUUUGGACAAUGGGGGCAACCCUGAUCCAGCCAUGCCGCGUGAGUGAAGAAGGCCUUCGGGUUGUAAAGCUCUUUCGGCGGGGAAGAAAUGGCAACGGCUAAUAUCCGUUGUUGAUGACGGUACCCGCAUAAGAAGCACCGGCUAACUACGUGCCAGCAGCCGCGGUAAUACGUAGGGUGCGAGCGUUAAUCGGAAUUACUGGGCGUAAAGCGUGCGCAGGCGGUUUCGUAAGACAGACGUGAAAUCCCCGGGCUCAACCUGGGAACUGCGUUUGUGACUGCGAGGCUAGAGUACGG
RNAcentral lists this ribosomal RNA (555 nucleotides) under uncultured Azospira sp. RNAcentral describes it as "bacterial SSU rRNA". It matches the Rfam family "Bacterial small subunit ribosomal RNA", at positions 100 to 651 of the family's 1533-position model. The record is from RNAcentral. Lineage: Bacteria; Pseudomonadati; Pseudomonadota; Betaproteobacteria; Rhodocyclales; Rhodocyclaceae.